CGCAUGACACAGAUCAGCCAUGUCUAAGGCCUGCUAUUAUGAGACACUGGAAGUCGAACGUUCUGUCGACGAAGCCGGCCUGAAGUCGGCCUUCCGCAAGCUCGCGAUGAAAUGGCACCCGGACAAGAAUCCGGGCGACCCGUCCUGCGAGCACAAGUUCAAGGAAAUCUCCGAGGCCUACGAGAUCCUCAAGGAUGGCAACAAGCG
This 207-nucleotide unclassified non-coding RNA is filed under the name Hevea brasiliensis (rubber tree). The record is from RNAcentral. Lineage: Eukaryota; Viridiplantae; Streptophyta; Magnoliopsida; Malpighiales; Euphorbiaceae.